GCGAUGAUGAGUAAGGUUAGCUCGCUAUGCACAUUGCCAUAGUCCGUAAGGUUGUAGGUUCGAAUCCUGCCAUCGCCA
Molecule: transfer RNA, 78 nt
Filed under: Bacteroidales bacterium
Lineage: Bacteria; Pseudomonadati; Bacteroidota; Bacteroidia; Bacteroidales
Description: tRNA-OTHER
Rfam family: tRNA
About the family: Transfer RNA (tRNA) molecules are approximately 80 nucleotides in length.
Source: RNAcentral